GACAAAGAAAUCGGAUACAAGAGCCUAGAAGAUCUAGUCUCGUGGUAAAAGUACAUUAAUGUCAAGAAGACGAGUACAGAACGUCAAAAGACUUUUAAAUUUCAAUCACAUUCAGACUAUACAUGAUUCAUCGAACAUUAGACGUGAUCAACAUGAGAUAUAGGUGUAGUGGUUCUAGUUUCGUGGGUAAAAUACAUUAAUGUCAAGACAAACUAGUGCUGAAUGACAUGGAUAGAAGACCAAAAUGUCAAAAGGUUUUAUAAAGUAAGGAACGAUCGAGAUCACAUGAAUACUAUGUAUCAACAAACAUUAGACAUGAUCGACUUCAGGAUAUACUGGUGUAAAACGAUGGGGAAAACUACAAAAACCGCUUUAGAACAACUAAACAUCUCCCUUUCCGUUCCGGGGACUUCAGGGUUAGGGAUACUUGUUACGACCUCUUCGCAUCUGUUUCGUUUUAACCCCCGCUCGCCACAAACGACACAACGUAGGUGGUAACAAGGAAGGUCCACUUACCUCGAACACAACAACCAUCUUGAGGCAACUACCGAAGAAGGAUACAACUUCUCGUACAAGGCACCAUAGGUUCUCAUGGAUCGUAAUGUGACCGUCUCGCAAAAUAAACAGCUAGCGUUAUAAACACUAACACACCUUAUAACAUACCAAUAGAUGCACUUCAAACUUCAAGGACCCGUACGUUAUAAACUGCCAAUUUGACCAACAACACUACACUUGCUCACAUACCUCAAAGUGUACAAGACAAGACAUGUCUUAUAUAACAUUAUUUGGAUAAAACUAACAAUAAACUUCUAAAAGUAUACGAAGAG
RNAcentral lists this ribosomal RNA (827 nucleotides) under Triticum aestivum (bread wheat). Its description in RNAcentral is "partial small subunit ribosomal RNA". The record is from RNAcentral. Lineage: Eukaryota; Viridiplantae; Streptophyta; Magnoliopsida; Poales; Poaceae.